AGUGAACGCUGGCGGUAGGCCUAACACAUGCAAGUCGAACGGCAGCACAGUAAUAGCUUGCUCUUACGGGUGGCGAGUGGCGGACGGGUGAGGAAUACAUCGGAAUCUACUUUUUCGUGGGGGAUAACGUAGGGAAACUUACGCUAAUACCGCAUACGACCUACGGGUGAAAGCAGGUGAUCUUCGGACCUUGCGCGUUUGAAUGAGCCGAUGUCGGAUUAGCUAGUUGGCGGGGUAAAGGCCCACCAAGGCGACGAUCCGUAGCUGGUCUGAGAGGAUGAUAAGCCACGCUGGAACUGAGACACGGUACAGACUCCUACGGGAGGCAGCAGUGGGGAAUAGUAGACAAUGGGAGGAAGCCUGAUCCAGCCAUGCCGCGUGGGUGAAGAAGGCAUUCGGGUUGUAAAGGCAUUUUGUUGGGAAAGAAAAGCAGAAGGUUAAUACCCCGCUGUGCUGACGGUACCAAAAGAAUAAGCACCGGCUAACUUCGUG
Molecule: ribosomal RNA, 492 nt
Filed under: uncultured bacterium
Lineage: Bacteria
Description: partial 16S ribosomal RNA
Rfam family: Bacterial small subunit ribosomal RNA
Source: RNAcentral